Molecule: microRNA, 21 nt
Filed under: Danio rerio (zebrafish)
Lineage: Eukaryota; Metazoa; Chordata; Actinopteri; Cypriniformes; Danionidae
Also listed under: 5 other names
Description: Dre-Mir-8-P3a_5p* (star (passenger))
Source: RNAcentral
GUCUUACCAGACAUGGUUAGA